UAAAGCCUGUUUCACGCAAAAUUAGUUGAAGGGAUUAAAUAUCCUACAAAAUAACGAUUGCCACAUUUUUUAUUCUCUCCCUGGAUGACUAAAACACCCGUGAAACAUCCACCAUGCAUUUCCGUUCGGCUAAUCCCCGCCUGCACACUCCAAAUUCAAUAUCACCAGCUAUUCUCGGUGCUAAAGAAUCAUUUUACUUUUUCCAAGUCCACAGGAAAAUGUGAACCAUCUGGAAAUGAAGGAUUCCUUUGUGUGCAACCUCUCCAUCCUGAGUCUCCGUGAGGAGGAAAACCUGCACUGUGCCUAUGGUGGAUGCGAUGGAGAUGCACUGAGCCCGACCCAGUGCUGGGUGCUCCUUGGAGCCACGUGUCCUUUCCUUGCUUUUUCAGUGGGAAACAGCCAGAUUUUGACAUGCCAGCUUCCUCAGAAGAAUAAUCAGUCUGUUACCUGCAUGUGUUGGAUGUUAAUACGCAGAUGAUUGGUCUUGAAUAUAUUUCAAGUCUCAGUGUGGGCUCUCAUUCAUCCAUGCAAGAGGAGACCUAUGGCUCCAGGGAGGAAAUCUGUAACUAAUGGGAGUUUCCAUUUAUGAGGAGAUUCUACAGCUCUUCCAGCAUUCCCUUGCACUGGUCCUAGGAACUGAAUGAUGUUUCAAAACAAGCUAUAUAAGGAAAAAGUAGGUCUGAGAUCCUGCUGUGCCCAUGCCAGGAGGUCCCAGGUUUGUUCCAAGCUUAUGGCCCAGAUUUGGUUUCAGCAAUCAUCUAAGGGAAGUUGGCUCUUUCCUGCCUGUGCCUGGCCCACACCAGCACAAAGAAGGAU
This is a non-coding RNA of Coturnix japonica (Japanese quail), 816 nucleotides long. The record is from RefSeq and is a predicted model, not a curated record. NCBI's taxonomy places the organism in Eukaryota, Metazoa, Chordata, Aves, Galliformes, Phasianidae.